AAGGGAGCUUGCUCCCGGAUGUUAGCGGCGGACGGGUGAGUAACACGUGGGUAACCUGCCUGUAAGACUGGGAUAACUCCGGGAAACCGGAGCUAAUACCGGAUAGUUCCUUGAACCGCAUGGUUCAAGGAUGAAAGACGGUUUCGGCUGUCACUUACAGAUGGACCCGCGGCGCAUUAGCUAGUUGGUGAGGUAACGGCUCACCAAGGCGACGAUGCGUAGCCGACCUGAGAGGGUGAUCGGCCACACUGGGACUGAGACACGGCCCAGACUCCUACGGGAGGCAGCAGUAGGGAAUCUUCCGCAAUGGACGAAAGUCUGACGGAGCAACGCCGCGUGAGUGAUGAAGGUUUUCGGAUCGUAAAGCUCUGUUGUUAGGGAAGAACAAGUGCAAGAGUAACUGCUUGCACCUUGACGGUACCUAACCAGAAAGCCACGGCUAACUACGUGCCAGCAGCCGCGGUAAUACGUAGGUGGCAAGCGUUGUCCGGAAUUAUUGGGCGUAAAGGGCUCGCAGGCGGUUUCUUAAGUCUGAUGUGAAAGCCCCCGGCUCAACCGGGGAGGGUCAUUGGAAACUGGGAAACUUGAGUGCAGAAGAGGAGAGUGGAAUUCCACGUGUAGCGGUGAAAUGCGUAGAGAUGUGGAGGAACACCAGUGGCGAAGGCGACUCUCUGGUCUGUAACUGACGCUGAGGAGCGAAAGCGUGGGGAGCGAACAGGAUUAUAUACCCUGGGUAGUC
This 739-nucleotide ribosomal RNA is filed under the name Bacillus altitudinis. RNAcentral describes it as "bacterial SSU rRNA". It matches the Rfam family "Bacterial small subunit ribosomal RNA", at positions 72 to 795 of the family's 1533-position model. Lineage: Bacteria; Bacillati; Bacillota; Bacilli; Caryophanales; Bacillaceae. The record is from RNAcentral.